GCCCCUGUGGCGGAAUGGGAAUACGCAGCAGGUUGAGGGCCUGUGCCCGCGAGGGCGUGCUGGUUCGAGUCCAGUCAGGGGCA
Molecule: transfer RNA, 83 nt
Filed under: Anaerolineae bacterium
Lineage: Bacteria; Bacillati; Chloroflexota; Anaerolineae
Also listed under: 1 other name
Description: tRNA-Leu
Rfam family: tRNA
About the family: Transfer RNA (tRNA) molecules are approximately 80 nucleotides in length. Their secondary structure includes four short double-helical elements and three loops (D, anti-codon, and T loops).
Source: RNAcentral